CCUACGGGAGGCAGCAGUAGGGAAUAUUGCUCAAUGGGGGAAACCCUGAAGCAGCAACGCCGCGUGGAGGAUGAAGGUUUUAGGAUUGUAAACUCCUUUUGUUAGAGAAGAUUAUGACGGUAUCUAACGAAUAAGCACCGGCUAAAUCCGUGCCAGCAGCCGCGGUAAGACGGCGGGUGCAAGCGUUACUCGGAAUCACUGUGCGUAAAGAGUGCGUAGGCGGGGUAAUAAGUCAGAUGUGAAAUGCUGUGGAUUAACUACAGAACUGCAUUUGAAACUGUUACUCUGGAGUGUGGGAGAGGUAGGUGGAAUUCUUGGUGUAGGGGUAAAAUGCGUAGAGAUCAAGAGGAAUGCUCAUUGCGAAGGCGGCCUGCUGGAACAUUACUGACGCUGAUGCACGAAAGCGUGGGGAGCAAACAGGAUUAGAUACCCUAGUAGUC
This 440-nucleotide ribosomal RNA is filed under the name uncultured bacterium. RNAcentral describes it as "partial 16S ribosomal RNA". It matches the Rfam family "Bacterial small subunit ribosomal RNA", at positions 338 to 795 of the family's 1533-position model. The record is from RNAcentral.